This is a long non-coding RNA of Asterias rubens (European starfish), 2189 nucleotides long. RefSeq lists it as uncharacterized. The transcript is spliced from 4 exons. The record is from RefSeq and is a predicted model, not a curated record. NCBI's taxonomy places the organism in Eukaryota, Metazoa, Echinodermata, Asteroidea, Forcipulatida, Asteriidae.
GGCGCUUUGCUAGGAAAUCUUACUCUUUGAUUAUCUGCACUUGGUUCAGUAUUUCUAGUAAACAGCGAUAUUUAUCCCCAAGUUUGAGUAAGAUCCCGAAUAAAUCAUGUUGGCUAACAUUUCCAGAGUCUUGCUUCGAAAAGCAGGCAUGUCUACCAGGAUGCCGUCACUGGUAACCCGGACACCAACUACUGUCGUACGUCGCAGCAUGGCCACUGAGCCAAUGGAACUACCCAAGUUGUCAGGUGCCAUCUGGAUGGGUGGUGGUGUGGCGUUUUUCUUCCUAACUGCAGCCUGGGUGAACUUCAAUGAUCUGGUUGUGUGGGGUACUGCUCCAGAGAGACCCAAGUCUGUAUAGAAGAUUACAUUCAGAUUUAUGUAGCACCUAUCUCACUCAAAGGAUAUGCGAGUCACAUUGCACAAUGUAGAGAGAAGUCAACCUAACAUGCAUGACUAGUCAAGCAUUUUGACCAUCCAAACAUAUCCAUGUUCUUAGUUGCACGACCUUGGUCAGUAGUAGAAAUUAGUUUGUUAAUAUUACGUAAUGAUGCAGUAAGACAAAUUAAACCGUAGCUACAUUUGACGUCAUCAACCAUUCAAGAUCACUUAGUGAUCACCUUUAUACAUGCAGUCCAACCACUAAUUUGUUUCUUGACUAGCUUCCCUCGCCCAACUUCAAAGGUGAAGAAAGCCGGGUCAUUUUGACAAUCGGUGAGGUCUGCAAAUUGCCAAAAUAUGGGUACUUUUGUAGAGUUUCUUCUCAAAAUUGUAAAACAGGGUAUAUUUAUUUCAAAAAUUUAAUUGUUGCAAAUCCUAUAUUCACACCUAUUUUUCCUGGUGGAAGUUGUUAAGCACCAGAAUUCAUCUCGGAGCUUUGAGUUCAGCCUGUUGCUCUUCGUACUGCUACCUUGCAGUACUGGAAAACAAAUGUGCUCUGCGGGCACACUGGAACAUAUUUUGGUGUUUGCAAAGACAAGUUGCAAGCAAAGCAUAAAGAUAGAACUCAGCUUUUCUGGGGCCCGCUUAAGGGCCCUGGAAGCUUUUGCAUCCUAGGUACUCUGUAGUGCCAAUUGAGCCACCAUUUUGCACUUAAAUGCACUUAACAAAUAAUGAUGGUCCUUCAGAACCUACAACACUUCCCAUUCCUGUAAAAUGUAUGCGUUGCUGUUAAGUUUAAAGAUGCUCUUAACAAAAAAACCAAAAAAAUGGUAUUUUUUCCAAGUAGUUUUGGACCAGUGUGCUUUGCUUGGAGUGAAAUGAUCACCAUCGUGGUAAUAAUGGGGGACUUUUGAGGUUCAGCAGACUUACCAGGUAAAUCCAUUGUUCUUGUAAAUAAUAUGAGCAUGCUCAAAACGACAGAAACAAAUCAAAAUUUACUUUGUAAGUCUGCUGCCACCUAGUGUUCAAAAGUCUCCCAAUGAAGGUUUACUGAUGGUUUAUGGCGUAGUUGCACAUGGGUAGCUUUACAAGCUGAAUCAUUGUUGAAUGUUCUGGUAGAUGUAGAUUGCAUAACUCAUUUUGAAGUGUGAGUAGGUAUUGCACAUGAUUAUUUGUCUUGUGUUUAUUCAAACGACAUUUGUAGAACUUCAUUUUUAUGAAAAGCAUCAUGUAGUAGUAAAUUUAGUACAUAAAAGUUUAUAAAUUUUAUGAAUUUAAAUAAUAUUAAUAAUUUCAUCAUGCUUCAAGAACCACUCAUGAAAAUAUAUGUGACUAGGUUUACAACAGAAAAUUAGAAGUUUCAGAGGUCCCCAUAACAAAAAUAUUAGCAGGAUUGGCAUCAUGUAUAGUUACAUUGAUUAUGUUCGGAAAACAUUGUCUUAAAAGAAACAAUCUGUAAUUUAUUGAAGUAAACCUGCUGUGUAAAGUACACCUUUUCUCUAGUUUGUUUUCUACAGAAAUAAACCAAACGCACGAUCUGAUUCAUAAUUCCUUGAAUUUUGAAAAUUAAGAAUUUUAUAUUUUUAAAUUUGUUCAAACAGUUUUUCUUGCAUUUUGUUCUCAAACCAAAAUGUAGAAAGGUAUUAUUGGGAACUGAUUUUCUUCCAAAUAACCUGGCUGCUAUUUAGAGGCUAUUUAUGUGAUAUCGCACUUUCAUAUUUAGUUUUUUACUUGCAAUAUUUAUCAACAUUAUGGAAACAUCAACAAGAAUGUCGCAAUAAAACAGUGAGGAAACGUCACUUUGCAAAGAA